Long non-coding RNA from Medicago truncatula (barrel medic), 757 nucleotides. RefSeq lists it as uncharacterized. Lineage: Eukaryota; Viridiplantae; Streptophyta; Magnoliopsida; Fabales; Fabaceae. The record is from RefSeq and is a predicted model, not a curated record. The transcript is spliced from 2 exons.
UUUUUUUUUUGGAAGAGGCGUGAAUUCCAGCAAAUGCAUCUCCUUCCCCUCCAUGUUCAAUUUGCAGCAGCCGAAUUAUAUGGCAGCUCCAUUUCCACUACUACAACAACAACAACAAUCUUUAUGAAAAAAACCCAAAAAAUCAUCUUCAACCACAACCCAAACAAAAUUCAUACCAACAAAUCUUAAAAUCAACCCCAAAAAAAUCCCCAAACUCAAUUCACGAAAGCACAUAAAUUUUGGUUGUUCCUCUUCACUUUCAUCUUUCAUUUUUUAAAAGUUCAGAUCCGUAACCUUCGUGUCAUGCUUGAGAAGGAAAAGUUUGGUACAUGUUUUAUUUCCUUCAUUAAUUUUCAGAUGCCAUGCAUGAAUGAACGAGAAAUUGAGAAGAAGGAAAAAUGGAAAUUCUGGAUCGGUCUUUUAAAGGAUGAGAUCGAGGUUGGAGUUUGAUUAACAAAUAAGAUAUGUUUCAUUCCAUACUCUAUAAUCAAUUCAGGUUCAGAUUCAUGAAUCUUGCGUCUCUUUUGAAAGAAUUUCAUCAUUGUUGUUGGAAGAAGAAGCAAGAGCGUCUGAACUAAAUGAAGGAGUGGUGGAUUCGUUUUGCAGCUGUACUCAGAGUAAGUUUUACGGAGAUAGUCGACAAUUUUUUCGGCGGUUGAGAAUUUUGAUUUGAAAGGAUUGAUUAUGCGAAGAAUUCAGAUUUGUUUGGGAAAAAAAUGAAGGAGAUUUAGGAGAAGAAGAAGAUGCAUUUGCAACA